UUGUUUCAUAAAUGUUUUCACUUUUGAACAAAUGACAUAUCGGGUCAGGUUCAGUGGUCAUAGGGUUGGAUCCAUUGGUCACUAGGUUGGUCAGAGUGUUACUAGGUUGAACCCGAGGUCACUGAGUCAAGUUCGAUGAUCACGAAGCUACGUUUGAGCAUCACUGAUCAGAUCGAAGGUUCAUCAGGUCGGGCCAAGAAUCUCUCUUCUUUUUUUCCCCAUGGUUAAGGCAUAUGGGGACGAGGCCGCAUGGUUGUUGAGGAUGUGGGUCUACUUGCUAAAGGUGGCGAGUCCCACAUUCAAUUUUGACCUAGUUCAGUUAUAAUGGAACUUUAAAAUAACUCAUUCCUUCAAUUUUGAGUGGAAAUGAAGUUUUUCCUGCGGUCAAAUUCGGAAUUUGAGGUCAGAAUGGAAGUCAACGUAACAGUGUUCGCACCAUUUUUCGUUGAAUUCAUUGAAGUUAUGAUGAAUUUUUGUUGGGUCUGGAGGUCUUGAGUUUGGACAGAGAGUCCCGAGGCUCAGCAUGAGUUUGUGGCCAAACGCACGAUUCGAGUAAAUGUUUAAAAAGUUCACAAUGUCAUUAUAAUUUACAUAAAUUAUUUACAAGCUCCGAAAAAUUUAUGGAGAUGAGAUCUCUUUUCAUCAAAACUAAAAAAGAGAUUGUAUAUGGGUC
Molecule: long non-coding RNA, 673 nt
Filed under: Prunus persica (peach)
Lineage: Eukaryota; Viridiplantae; Streptophyta; Magnoliopsida; Rosales; Rosaceae
Description: long non-coding RNA (PPER_LNC006367)
Source: RNAcentral